GACGAACGCUGGCGGCGUGCUUAACACAUGCAAGUCGAACGGUGAACCUCUUCGGAGGGGAUCAGUGGCGAACGGGUGAGUAACACGUGGGCAACCUGCCCCCGGCUCUGGGAUAACUCCAAGAAAUUGGGGCUAAUACCGGAUGUUCACCGCUUCCCGCAUGGGUGGUGGUGGAAAGGGUUUCCGGCUGGGGAUGGGCCCGCGGCCUAUCAGCUUGUUGGUGGGGUAGUGGCCUACCAAGGAGACGACGGGUAGCCGGCCUGGGAGGGUGACCGGCCACCCUGGGCCUGAGAGACGGCCCAGACUCCUACGGGAGGCAGCAGUGGGGAAUAUUGCGCAAUGGGCGGAAGCCUGACGCAGCGACGCCGCGUGGGGGAUGACGGCCUUCGGGUUGUAAACCUCUUUCAGCAGGGACGAAGCGCAAGUGACGGUACCUGCAGAAGAAGCACCGGCUAACUACGUG
Molecule: ribosomal RNA, 463 nt
Filed under: uncultured bacterium
Lineage: Bacteria
Description: partial 16S ribosomal RNA
Rfam family: Bacterial small subunit ribosomal RNA
Source: RNAcentral